This 239-nucleotide ribosomal RNA is filed under the name uncultured bacterium. RNAcentral's name for it is "partial 16S ribosomal RNA". It matches the Rfam family "Bacterial small subunit ribosomal RNA", at positions 796 to 1041 of the family's 1533-position model. The record is from RNAcentral.
CACGCCCUAAACGAUGGAUACUCGAUAUUGGGCUUUUCAGCUCAGUGUCUUAGCAAAAGCGUUAAGUAUCCCACCUGGGAAGUACGAUCGCAAGGUUGAAACUCAAAGGAAUUGACGGGGGCCCGCACAAGCGGUGGAGCAUGUGGUUUAAUUCGAUGGUACGCGAGGAACCUUACCUGGGCUAGAAUGCGCGUGACCGGGGCAGAAAAGUCCCUUUCGCAAGACACAAAGCAAGGUGC